RNAcentral lists this small RNA (5152 nucleotides) under Pan troglodytes (chimpanzee). RNAcentral's name for it is "sense intronic". Lineage: Eukaryota; Metazoa; Chordata; Mammalia; Primates; Hominidae. The record is from RNAcentral.
GAAGCUUGCAGUGAGCCGAGAUCACGCCACUGCACUCCAGCCUGGGCGACACAGCAAGACUCUGUCUCAAAAAAAAAAAAAAUUAAGAAAGAAAAAAGCGACGGCGAGACUCAUCUCAAAAAAAAAAAAAAAGAAAAGUCGUAAGAGAAAAUAUAUUUCCUAUUUAUGCAGUGGAAGCGGAUCAACAUAAAGAGCUUCAUCCUCAUGGCCUUCACCUUGAGUGGGCUGAGGAGGAGGACGAGGGGCUGGUCUUGUUGUCUUGGGUAGCAGGGGUGGAAGAAAAUCCACGUGUCCGUGAUCAUACAUAGCUCACUCCUGUGUUGCUGAAGGGUCACCUGUCAUAGAAGAGGGAAGAAUUGUGUGGCCUGUGCGGAUUCUGCAUUCAGCCUUGUGUGUUGUGUUACGGUUACCCAGGGACAUGUGUGGCUCCACUAACAACUCUGAUUCCUGGAAGGAAUGGCGUGGCAGCCUCCAUUGCCAUGGCAAGGCAAAGCCAUGGCAGCUUCCUGGUUAUCACUCCUGGCAUGUGGUAGGUGCUUGUCCAGUGAAAUCCUAGUCGUUGCUGCAUUGGCAGGUGCCCUGGCGUGAGGAAGGGCAGGCAGUCACCCUGCCCUUUGCUCUCCUGGGCCCUGCAUCUGCUUAUGGAUGAGGCUGUGUGUAGCUGACAUGCGUGUCUCUCCUGCAUCUGAGUAAUUGUCUUCUUCUUUUUUUUUUUUUUUUUUGAGAUGGAGUUUUGCUCUUGUUGCCAAAGUUGGAGUGCAAUGCCACGAUCUCGGCUCAUUGCAAACUCCACCUCGUGGGUUUAAGCAGUUCUCCUGCCUCAGCCUCCCGAGUAACUGGGACUAAAGGUGCCCGCAACCAUGCCCGGCUAAUUUUUUGUAUUUUUAGUAGAGAUGGAGUUUCACCAUGUUAGCUAGGAUGAUCUCGAUCUCCUGACGUUGUGGUCUGCCCGCCUCAGCCUCCCAAAGUGCUGGGAUUAUAGGCGUGAGCCACCACGCCCGGCCAAGUGAUUGUUUUAUGUUUAUUCUGUUUUGGGUUGAACUAUAGUUUGCUUUGAGAAAAUAAUGUCUGUUAAAUUUGCGUUAGAGGAUAAUUGUUCACUGAGCCAAAUAAUCUUUCUUGUGAGAACGUAUUCUGGGUUUCCCCUGGGCCCUCUGCUGUGGUUGCGGCGGGAGUUGGUUUGUGUGUAUUUUCAGGACUGCUGACUUGAUCAGACAGGCACAACACAAUCCCGGCCCUCAGGCAGGCCUUCUCCCUGGUCGGAUGCUGAACUGCAUGGCGUCUGUUCAGAUGAAGAUUCUUUUGCCACCUCCUUAAAUGAAAGAACGAUACUGAAUGUGGCUUAGAAACAGCUUUGCCAGCCGUGCAGAAUGAUUGUAAGUAGUGGUUGCCCAAAAAGUAUUUGCUUGGAAUACCACUCACUGAUAACACAGGUGAACCUGGAAGGAAUUAUACGGAGUGAAACAAGGCACCACUCACUGAUAACACGAAUGAACCUGGAAGGAAUUAUACGGAGUGAAGAAAGGCCCCCCUCACUGAUAACACGGGUGAACCUGGAAGGAAUUACACGGAGUGAAAAAAGACCCUGCUCACUGGUAACGCGGGUGAACCCAGAAGGAAUUACACGGAGUGGAAAAAAGGCCCCGCUCACUGAUAACGCGGGUGAACCUGGAAGGAAUUACACAGAGUGAAAAAAGGCCGAGCUGAAAAAUCACAUUCCGUAUGAUUUUUUUUAAUACAGCAUUCUCUAAAGACAAAAAUUAAAGAGAUGGAACACAGAUUCGUGGUUGCUAGGGGCUAAGGAUGGGGGAAGGAGACAGCCCGAGGGAGCCUGUGGUUGGAUUGCCUCAGCUGUGGUGGGCACAUGAGGGCACACACUGCGCGUGUGUCACGGGAUGACCCCAGGGAGCUUGGUGGACCGUCGUGAUGGGAGAGCCUGGCUGUGAUACUGUUCAUAGUUUUGUGAGAUGGAACCCCUGGAAGCAGGGGGACAAGGUAUUGCUCUGCAUCAUUUAUUUUUAUUUAUUUAUUUAUUUUUGAGUCGGGGUCUGGCUCUGUCACCCAGGAUGGAGUGCAGUGGCUCGAUCUCUGCUUACUGCAACCUCCACCUCCUGGGUUCAAGCGAUUCUCCUGCCUCAGCCUCCUGAGUAGCUGGGAUUACAGGCGCGUGCCACCACACCCAGCUAAUUUUGUUUGUUUUUAGUAGAGACGGGGUUUCAGUAUGUUGGUCAGGCUGGUCUCGAACUCUUGACCUCAUCAUCUGCCUGCCUCGGUCCCCACAAAGUGCUGGGAUUACAGGUGUGAGCCACUGCGCCCAGCCUGCUCUGUGCCAUUUCUUACAACUACAUGUGAAGGUACAGUUACUUCACGGUCAGAAAUUUAACUAGGAAAAACGCAGUUGCUAACAUUUCUUUUUUUUUUUUCUUUUUUUGAGACGGAGUUUCGCUCUUGUUGCCCAGCCUGGAGUGCAGUGGCGCGAUCUCAGCUCACCGCAACCUCCGCCUCCCGGGUUCAAGCCAUUCUCUUGCCUUAGCUUCCCGAGUAGCUGGGAUUACAGGCAUGCGUCACCACACCUGGCUGAUUUUUUGUAUUUUUAGUAAAGAUGGGGUUUCUGCAUGUUGGUCAGGCUUGUCUUGGACUCCCGACCUCAGGUGAUGCACCCGCCUCAGCCUCCCGAAGUGCUGGGAUGACAGGCGUGAGCCACCGCGCCCGGCAGCAGUUGCCAACAUUUUCACACAGCUUCUUGUGGAGAAGGCCCCUUUCCACUGUGAGGUGUGAAUGCGUCAAGGUGGAGCCCCUGCCCCGGAGGCCUCUCCUCUGUCAGGGUCAGCUGUGGCGCUCGGGGCUGCUGUCUUCAGGGGCGGUUUCCAAGUGGGAUGAGCCUGAUGUGGCCCCUGUGGCUGCUUCCUUGAGACUCAGUGGUAUCAGCCGUUUGUUUUUAGAUGACUGAUUGAAGUGGGUUAUGUGAUCAUAAUAUCUAAUUGUCAACAAUUGACUUUUUUUCCUCGAAGAGGGAUUUUGGCAACAAAACUUGCCAGUGGUCCUGCAGGCUGCCGUCCACGAGGUGUGCACAUGAGGCUCAGGAAGCAUGUGCGUUUCCUGAGCGCCUUGGCGGACAGCCUCAGGAACACAGGCAGCAGGUGCUGAGGCCACACCCCAGUUCUGUGUGAGCUGGCGGCUCGUCUCAGCGUCCUGAAUAACCGUCCUGGAAGCACACAGGAGGAAGGUACCUGCAGCCCUGGGCGCGCAGGCACAAAUGACCACAACACUGAAGGUGUGGCGGGAAGAGGUGCGUCGGGCAGCUCAGAGGAAGGGACACGCUGGGCGUUUGGGCUGGACAGAAGUUAAGGACUUCAUGGGAAGGAGAUGGGGGGUCUUGCAGGCAGAGGAAGUUCCUUUUAUACCUAGAGUGCUUUUGUUUGUUUGUUUGUUUGUUUUGAGAUGGAGUUUCACUCUUCGUUGCCCAGGCAGGAGUGAAGUGGCGCGAUCUCAGCCCACUGCAACCUCCGCCCGCCAUGUUUGAGCGAUUCUCCUGCCUCAACCUCUCUAGUAGCUGGGCUUACAGGCGCGUGCUACCACGCCCAGCUAAUUUUUGUAUUUUUAGUAGAGACAGGGUUUCACCAUGUUGGCCAGGCUGGUGUUGAACUCCUGACCUCAGGUGAUCCACUCACCUCAGCCUCCCAAAGUGCCUGGAUGACAGUCGUGAGCCACUGCGCCCAGCCCCAGCUACGUUGUGUUUUUUUUUUCCCCCUGUAGAGAUGGGUUUUCGCUAUGUUACCCAGGCUGGUUUCUAACUCCUGGACUCAAGUGAUCCACCUGUCUCGACUCCCAAAGUGCUGGGAUGACAGGUGUGAGCCACUGCGCCCGGCUGGAAUUUCUUAUGGUUCGUUUCCUUAGGUUAAAGUUUCAGAAGUAGGAUUUUUGAAUUAAAGAAACUAAGUACUGUCUAUGGCACUUGAUACAUCUUGCCAGGCAGUUAUCAGACAGGGUUGUACUGGUUUGCGCCACCCCAGAACGUGUGCAAGGCCUGUUUGUGGACCCUCCUUGGCCUGGCUGUCUAGGUCAUCCACCUGCAUGUGCUCACAGAGCAUAUGGAUUUUUCCCUGCGGUGCCUUGUGGCUGGAAGAGGCUUCUCUGUGAUCCUGUGUCCUGGGUGCUCUGUUGGCCUCCUUCUUGCCACUGAGGAGGACAUGGAGGCCAGAGAGGGCUCACUGAACAGCGAAAUGAUUGGAACCUAAGGAGCUUCAGCAGAAGGUGUCAUGAUGGGGCUAGGCUCUCCCGAGGGCUGUGUGGCCUCAGCGUCUUGUUGGGCAGAUCCUGCUCCCUGACACAGCAGGGCUAAGAGCCAGCCUGUGUCACACACCUGUGAAUUAACAUGCCUGGCUGACCCUCACUGGAGAAGGGCUACACGUUUGUGACGAAAGCAGAAGAGGUGUUUAUUGUAGACCAAAUCCAAGCUGUCAUUUUACUUCUAUUAGAAAUUCUUUGGGAUUUGGCUCAUGCCUAUAAUCCCAGCACUUUGGGAGGCUGAGGUGGGAGAAUCACCUGAGCUCAGUCGUUUGAGACUGGCUUGGGCAACAUAGUGAGACCUCAUCUUCUACUCAAAUUUAAAAAAUUAGCCGGGCGCAGUGGCAUGCACCUGUACUCCCAGCUACUCGGGAGGCUCAGUUGGGAGGAUCACUUGAGCCCAGGAGGUGGAGGCUGCAGUGAGCCCAGAUAUGCUCAUGAAGCACUGUGGGUUUCUCCUGCAGUGCACCACCGCACUCCAGCCUGGGUGACGGAGAGAGACCCCAUCUCAACAAAAAUAGAAAAGAAAAUGGGACACUGUUGAUACAGUCACAGAGCUGAAGGAGCAGCAUGGGUCGUGAUUCUGGAUCGUCCCUCCGGGGCAGCUAGAGUAGCUGCUGGGAAGUAUUUCUCAGUUUCCCAGUGCGCCCCAUGUUUCUAGUAGAAAACACAAUUGGUAAUUAAAUAUUGGAAGUAGUUUCUAACAAUUGGAUACUCACCUGAGAACAUAAAUUUGCUCUCUGAAAUAAGCGGUGGGCGUUAUAUAAUUGCCUUUGUGAAUAUGAAAUUUAAGUAUUAGAUGCACUAUUAGGCUCGAUUGUGACAAAACAGUGAUAUCUAAAAUAUACCUUCAUGUUUUCAAAGC